This 118-nucleotide transfer RNA is filed under the name Candidatus Bathyarchaeota archaeon. Its description in RNAcentral is "tRNA-OTHER". It matches the Rfam family "tRNA". Rfam says of the family: Transfer RNA (tRNA) molecules are approximately 80 nucleotides in length. Their secondary structure includes four short double-helical elements and three loops (D, anti-codon, and T loops). RNAcentral also lists the same sequence under 1 other name. The record is from RNAcentral. Lineage: Archaea; Thermoproteati; Candidatus Bathyarchaeota.
GGGCCCGUAGCUCAGCCAGGAAGAGCACCGGAAGGGGUUUAAACCCUAGUGAAGCUUUUAACCUGGCGUAAGGGAGGCCACCCGGGGGUCCCGGGUUCGAAUCCCGGCGGGCCCGCCA